GAUGAAGAACGUAGCGAAAUGCGAUAAGUAGUGUGAAUUGCAGAAUUCAGUGAAUCAUCGAAUCUUUGAACGCACAUUGCGCCCCUUGGUAUUCCAUGGGGCAUGCCUGUUCGAGCGUCAUUUGUACCUUCAAGCUCUGCUUGGUGUUGGGUGUUUGUCUCGCCUCUGCGUGUAGACUCGCCUCAAAAUAAUUGGCAGCCGGCGUAUUGAUUUCGGAGCGCAGUACAUCUCGCGCUUUGCACUCAUAACGACGACGUCCAAAAGUACAUUUUUACACUCUUGACCUCGGAUCAGGUAGGGAUACCCGCUGAACUUAAGCAUAUCAAGCGGAGGA
RNAcentral lists this unclassified non-coding RNA (334 nucleotides) under soil metagenome. RNAcentral describes it as "partial contains 5.8S ribosomal RNA, internal transcribed spacer 2, and large subunit ribosomal RNA". The stretch from base 1 to 120 matches the Rfam family "5.8S ribosomal RNA", at positions 35 to 154 of the family's 154-position model. The record is from RNAcentral.